Molecule: non-coding RNA, 1281 nt
Organism: Oncorhynchus mykiss (rainbow trout)
Lineage: Eukaryota; Metazoa; Chordata; Actinopteri; Salmoniformes; Salmonidae
Source: RefSeq, a predicted model, not a curated record
GGAUGUUCCUUCAUACAGAGUGGCAUAGGUCUGAACUGAAAGACACCUUUUGCACAGACGACUUGUAUUCAUUGGGAGAGGAAGUCUGUUAACCCUCUAAGUGUGUGGUCAGCGUACGAUAUGUCUGUGUGACACUACAGUGUGUGUGUGGUCAGCGUACGAUGUCUGUGUGACACUACAGUGUGUGUGUGGUCAGCGUACGAUAUGUCUGUGUGACACUACAGUGUGUGUGUGGUCAGCGUACGAUAUGUCUGUGUGACACUACAGUGUGUGUGGGGUCAGCGUACGAUAUGUCUGUGUGACACUACAUUGUGUGUGUGGUCAGUGUACGAUAUGUCUGUGUGACACUACAGUGUGUGUUGUCAGCGUAUGAUAUGUCUGUGACACUACAGUGUGUGGUCAGCGUACGAUAUGUCUGUGACACUACAGUGUGUGUGUGUGUGUGUGUGUGGUCAGCGUACGAUAUGUCUGUGUGACACUACAGUGCGUGUGUGUGUGGUCAGCGUACGAUAUGUCUGUGUGACACUACAGUGUGUGUGUGUGGUCAGCGUACGAUAUGUCUGUGUGACACUACAGUGUGUGUGUGUGUGUGUGUGUGUGGUCAGCGUACGAUAUGUCUGUGUGACACUACAGUGUGUGUGUGUGGUCAGCGUACGAUAUGUCUGUGACACUACAGUGUGUGUGUGUGGUCAGCGUACGAUAUGUCUGUGUGACACUACAGUGUGUGUGUGUGUGGUCAGCGUACGAUAUGUCUGUGUGACACUACAGUGUGUGUUGGGGCUCCAGAGGGGAUUUUUCGUUUACCUUGGCAUAGUGGACGAUUCCAGACUCUUACUUUCAUUCUGUCUCUUAGCUCGACAUUCGUUUACCCACUCUUUUGAGUAGGUUAUUUUUCUUCUGGUCUUUUGUCUGUGUUUUUCCUACAUUUCUGUCUAGAGUUCUCUAACCAUCUCUCUCACAUAGAGGUUAGAACUGAUGGUUCCUCCCUUUGUCAAACCGCUGCACAACAAACUAGGGCAUGCAUACACAUGUCUUUAAUGAUCAUUUUCUCUUUUAAUCUUGUUCACUUAUGUAAUAUAGAAAUCACAAUCUUGUAUUUUUCCUGGAAAGCCUUUGUCCUUUCUUUUGAUUUUAUGUUUGUAGAUACGACGACGACAAAAAGUGUACAUUAUUUUCUCUCACAUUUGAAUAAAUGGUGAGGUUGUUAGCUGCGAAGAAGGAAAAUUAAGUCUUGUUGCAGGUUCAUGUGUAUUGUGACAUUAAAAAGAACUUUGAAAAAAG